Molecule: ribosomal RNA, 252 nt
Filed under: uncultured Bacteroidales bacterium
Lineage: Bacteria; Pseudomonadati; Bacteroidota; Bacteroidia; Bacteroidales
Description: partial 16S ribosomal RNA
Rfam family: Bacterial small subunit ribosomal RNA
Source: RNAcentral
UACGGAGGAUGCGAGCGUUCUCCGGAUUUAUUGGGUUUAAAGGGUGCGUAGGCGGGCUGUUAAGUCAGCGGUAAAAGCCCGGGGCUCAACCCCGGCGAGCCGUUGAAACUGGCUGUCUUGAGAUGUCGAGAGGUAUGCGGAAUGCGCAGUGUAGCGGUGAAAUGCUUAGAUAUACGGAGGAACACCAGUGGCGAAGGCGGCCUGCUGGACAUUAACUGACGCUGAGGCGCGAAAGCGUGGGGAGCAAACAGG